This 458-nucleotide unclassified non-coding RNA is filed under the name Hevea brasiliensis (rubber tree). The record is from RNAcentral. Lineage: Eukaryota; Viridiplantae; Streptophyta; Magnoliopsida; Malpighiales; Euphorbiaceae.
AAUGUUCUGCCCUGCAAUCAGUAAUCAUGAUAGACAAAUACAAAUGAAUCGUGGAAAAUAAAAAUAAAUAAACAUCAAAGUAACUUGCAAUAUCUUAGCCUUCAAAAUAUAACAGUCAAAGAAAAGACCAGAUGUUAUAAAAGCAGCCUCAUAAUGAAUUCAGCAUAUGAAAAGAGCCAUAAAGUAGAACAAAUCAACCCAAACAAAAGUCUCUCAGCCUAAAAAGUAAAACAUUAUAUGCCUAUAUUGGUGUGUAAGAAACUUGCUGGAUUCAAUUCACUUGGUGAAAAAUCAAACCUACUCAAAACAUAAGGUAGCUCAUUUUACCUUAGAAAAAUAUCGUCUUAAAUUGCAAUUCAGACUCAAUUAAUGAAACAUUUACAAUAUUUUUUUUUGUUAAAUGUCAUAGCCUUCUAAAUGACUGCUGAAUGAAUGAGUAUUUUAGUACUUAUUUUUAA